GCAAACUUGGUCAUUUAGAGGAAGUAAAAGUCGUAACAAGGUCUCCGUUGGUGAACCAGCGGAGGGAUCAUUAACAAUUUCCGCGCUGAGCUCAGGGGGGAAACCCCCUGAUGCCCCGGAAAAACCCCUGUGAACUUUACCUAUUGUUGCCUCGGCGUGGCGUGUUCUGCACGUCCGCCGAUGGACCUAAAAUACUCCCUAAAUCUUUGAGAAACAUCUGAUUACCAAACAAACAAAUGUUAUAAAACUUUCAACAACGGAUCUCUUGGCUCCAGCAUCGAUGAAGAACGCAGC
This 294-nucleotide unclassified non-coding RNA is filed under the name uncultured fungus. RNAcentral describes it as "partial contains small subunit ribosomal RNA, internal transcribed spacer 1, and 5.8S ribosomal RNA". The stretch from base 1 to 73 matches the Rfam family "Eukaryotic small subunit ribosomal RNA", at positions 1759 to 1831 of the family's 1831-position model. Lineage: Eukaryota; Fungi. The record is from RNAcentral.